AGUGAACGCUGGCGGUAGGCCUAACACAUGCAAGUCGAACGGCAGCACAGUAAGAGCUUGCUCUUACGGGUGGCGAGUGGCGGACGGGUGAGGAAUACAUCGGAAUCUACUUUUUCGUGGGGGAUAACGUAGGGAAACUUACGCUAAUACCGCAUACGACCUACGGGUGAAAGCAGGGGAUCUUCGGACCUUGCGCGAUUGAAUGAGCCGAUGUCGGAUUAGCUAGUUGGCGGGGUAAAGGCCCACCAAGGCGACGAUCCGUAGCUGGUCUGAGAGGAUGAUCAGCCACACUGGAACUGAGACACGGUCCCGACUCCUACGGGAGGCAGCAGUGGGGAAUAUUGGACCAUGGGCGCAAGCCUGAUCCAGCCAUACCGCGUGGGUGAAGAAGGCCUUCGGGUUGUAAAGCCCUUUUGUUGGGAAAGAAAAGCAGCAGGUUAAUACCCCGCUGUUCUGACGGUACCCAAAGAAUAAGCACCGGCUAACUUCGUG
RNAcentral lists this ribosomal RNA (492 nucleotides) under uncultured bacterium. Its description in RNAcentral is "partial 16S ribosomal RNA". It matches the Rfam family "Bacterial small subunit ribosomal RNA", at positions 29 to 507 of the family's 1533-position model. The record is from RNAcentral.